UUUGACACUGGUUGUAGGUCUUAUAAUAUCUAUGUAAACAAGCCGACCCCGCGUAGCUUACCCCGCAUAUGCAGAAGUAAACGUUUUCUGAAUACGGGUAAACAAGUAUCUAACAUCUUGUUUGGUUUACAGAAUCUUUUGUACUGUGAUUUCAAGUUUCAACGGGUCACUAAAGACUGCAUUAGGAUUAUUAAAGCUCGUGGUGUGGUGGAUUGAAAAACCAUUAAGUGUGGCAAAUUUAAUAUAUCAUUAAGGGACUGUUGUUUUUAAAAUAUUGAAACAAAAAGAAAUACCGUACCCUGUGUACAAUGAGAGGGCUCAUGGCUAGAGGUGUAACAGUUAUUAUAUACUUCCAUCCAUCAGCCCAAACAUUAAACAUAAUUCAAACCAUUCUUACUGAGGCGGGUGACCCCGUUUCACUAGCACCACCUUCCAAGGUCUGGUGAUACGU
Molecule: long non-coding RNA, 451 nt
Organism: Metopolophium dirhodum (rose-grain aphid)
Lineage: Eukaryota; Metazoa; Arthropoda; Insecta; Hemiptera; Aphididae
Exons: 3
Source: RefSeq, a predicted model, not a curated record